RNAcentral lists this ribosomal RNA (302 nucleotides) under uncultured bacterium. RNAcentral describes it as "bacterial SSU rRNA". It matches the Rfam family "Bacterial small subunit ribosomal RNA", at positions 8 to 308 of the family's 1533-position model. The record is from RNAcentral.
AGAGUUUGAUCCUGGCUCAGGAUGAACGCUGGCGGCGUGCUUAACACAUGCAAGUCGAACGGUGAAGGGGGAGCUUGCUCCUCUGGAUCAGUGGCGAACGGGUGAGUAACACGUGAGCAAUCUGCCCCGAACUAUGGGAUAAGCGCUGGAAACGGCGUCUAAUACCGGAUACGACGCGGGAGGGCAUCCUCUCCGCGUGGAAAGAACCUCGGUUCGGGAUGAGCUCGCGGCCUAUCAGCUUGUUGGUGAGGUAAUGGCUCACCAAGGCGACGACGGGUAGCCGGCCUGAGAGGGUGACCGGC